Molecule: transfer RNA, 77 nt
Filed under: Clostridiales bacterium
Lineage: Bacteria; Bacillati; Bacillota; Clostridia; Eubacteriales
Description: tRNA-His
Rfam family: tRNA
About the family: Transfer RNA (tRNA) molecules are approximately 80 nucleotides in length. Their secondary structure includes four short double-helical elements and three loops (D, anti-codon, and T loops). Further hydrogen bonds mediate the characteristic L-shaped molecular structure. tRNAs have two regions of fundamental functional importance: the anti-codon, which is responsible for specific mRNA codon recognition, and the 3' end, to which the tRNAs corresponding amino acid is attached (by aminoacyl-tRNA synthetases). tRNAs cope with the degeneracy of the genetic code in two manners: having more than one tRNA (with a specific anti-codon) for a particular amino acid; and 'wobble' base-pairing, i.e. permitting non-standard base-pairing at the 3rd anti-codon position.
Source: RNAcentral
GUGGGUAUAGCUCAGUUGGUUAGAGCGCCAGAUUGUGGUUCUGGAAGUCGUGGGUUCGAAUCCCAUUACUCACCCCA